AAACUCAAAUGAAUUGACGGGGACCCGCACAAGCAGCGGAGCAUGUGGUUUAAUUCGAAGCAACGCGAAGAACCUUACCAAGGUUUGACAUCCCCUUGACAGAAGCAGAGAUGUUUCCUCCCCUUCGGGGGCAAGGGAGACAGGUGGUGCAUGGUUGUCGUCAGCUCGUGUCGUGAGAUGUUGGGUUAAGUCCCGCAACGAGCGCAACCCUUAUCCUUAGUUGCCAGCAGGUUAAGCUGGGCACUCUAAGGAGACUGCCGGUGAUAAACCGGAGGAAGGUGGGGAUGACGUCAAAUCAUCAUGCCCCUUAUAUCUUGGGCUACACACGUGCUACAAUGGUCGGUACAAAGGGAAGCGAAAGAGUGAUCUGGAGCAAAUCUUCAUAAACCGAUCCCAGUUCGGAUUGUAGGCUGCAACUCGCCUACAUGAAGUUGGAGUUGCUAGUAAUCGCGAAUCAGAACGUCGCGGUGAAUGCGUUCCCGGGUCUUGUACACACCGCCCGUCACACCAUGGAAGUUGGUAAUACCCAAAGUCGCUGAGCUAACCGCAAGGGGGCAGGCGCCUAAGGUAGGAUUAAUGACUGGGGUGAAGUCGUAACAAGGUAGCCGUAUCGGAAGGUGCGGCUGGAUCACCUCCUUUAU
RNAcentral lists this ribosomal RNA (641 nucleotides) under uncultured Sedimentibacter sp. Its description in RNAcentral is "bacterial SSU rRNA". It matches the Rfam family "Bacterial small subunit ribosomal RNA", at positions 897 to 1533 of the family's 1533-position model. Lineage: Bacteria; Bacillati; Bacillota; Tissierellia. The record is from RNAcentral.